GAUGAACGCUAGCGGCAGGCUUAAUACAUGCAAGUCGAGGGGUAACACGGGUAGCAAUAUCUGGUGACGACCGGCAAACGGGUGCGGAACACGUACAGAACCUUCCUUUAAGCGGGGGAUAGCCCAUAGAAAUGUGGAUUAAUACCCCAUAGUAAUAUUGUCUGGCAUCAGAUGGUAUUUAAAGAUUUAUCACUUAAAGAUGGCUGUGCGGCUGAUUAGGUAGUUGGUGCGGGUAACGGCCCACCAAGCCUUCGAUCAGUAACUGGUGUGAGAGCACGACCAGUCACACGGGCACUGAGACACGGGCCCGACUCCUACGGGAGGCAGCAGUAAGGAAUAUUGGUCAAUGGACGCAAGUCUGAACCAGCCAUGCCGCGUGAAGGAUGAA
RNAcentral lists this ribosomal RNA (388 nucleotides) under uncultured bacterium. Its description in RNAcentral is "bacterial SSU rRNA". It matches the Rfam family "Bacterial small subunit ribosomal RNA", at positions 28 to 412 of the family's 1533-position model. The record is from RNAcentral.